This 304-nucleotide long non-coding RNA is filed under the name Setaria viridis. RNAcentral's name for it is "long non-coding RNA (SVIR_LNC000534)". Lineage: Eukaryota; Viridiplantae; Streptophyta; Magnoliopsida; Poales; Poaceae. The record is from RNAcentral.
UUCGUGAUAAGUGUUUGAAAGUACUAAUCUCAUACCUAGUAUGGGAUGAGGAAGCCUAGUACUUGAUUGAACUUGGAUGUGAGCUGUUCGAUCCACUCUCUUUGGAAUAGAGUUUCCCCUGCGUCCGCUUGUGGUGGCAAAUGUGGUCACAGAACGGCAAAGGCCGGGUCUGUGGAACAUUGCACCAAGAGAAGUGGGCCCGACACAGGUCAGAGGAUUGAUGGGAACGGCCGACACAGGAAGCGACCCUCAGUGGUGCGCGGAUGUCGUGAGAUUAGGUUUACCAUGCAUGGUUAAGAAACCC